Long non-coding RNA from Malaclemys terrapin pileata, 1269 nucleotides. RefSeq lists it as uncharacterized. The record is from RefSeq and is a predicted model, not a curated record. The transcript has 6 exons. Lineage: Eukaryota; Metazoa; Chordata; Testudines; Emydidae.
CAGAAAAAGGACAAGCACGAUAUUGUUUUUUUAUUUAGGCCAUACACAAGUUUUUAUGUUAACAUUUCCCCACGGCAGCUGCAAAUACAGAUCACAGGCAAUAAAUAUUCAGCUGCAAGUCUAUUUAUAUUGCAAACCCGUCACAAGAGGAAACACAGGAUACAUAAGUAUUGUACGCUUGGCCUUUUGAAAAGUUUGUCGUUCAAAGGAGGAGAAAAGGAAACGUAUUAUAGUGGAAGUUGUCCAGUGUUUGACGUUUUUGUUUGAAUCCCACAAGUUACCCACUUAGUUCAUUUCUCACUCAGAUAAUGCAGACCGGAUGCGCUUUUGACGUUGCACAGGGAGAAAAACAGCAACACUCACGAUAGUGCCCGGUGACCUGUUCCUUAAAAAAACAACCCUCAUUUAAAGUCCGUGGCUUUGUAAACAUUUUACAGACAACGCGCAUCCGUGAGGGGAUUAUUUGCUGCAUGAUCGCUACACCCCAGGAACUGAGUGAAAAACCUCUCUGUCCCUCCCAGAGCCGGAGCUGCUGCAAACUUAGCAGGCCAGGCAGUUUACCAUCAUCAGAAAAUAAAGCCGUAAUUCUAGCUUAAAGGGGCACCUGCCAUUUGCCACUGUCAAGAGGACAGGAUACUGGGCUUGAUGGAUCUUUGGUCUGAUGCAGUAUGGCCGUUCUUAAGAAUUGGACCCUCUGAGGAGAGCCCCAAUGAACGGGAUACUGCUAAUCCAUGCAGUGUCUAGGAGGGAAGAUGCAUGAUCACUGGGGUGUGUCCUGGCAGGCAAUCCUGCACUUGUUUCGUACCCGCACACUUCGCUUUGACUCUGGCUGAAAUCUGGGGGCUAACAAGUCAUCUCUUCCCAAUACCCUCUGCUAAAUACCUUCACAUUAUACUGUACUAGCAUAGCAUUUACGGCUACUCCAUAAAUCAGAGGAUUAUGUCACAAACGCUUGAAAUGAAGUGGAGAGAAAAUAUCAUGGGAUCUUCACCUGAAAUAGAAGAUAACGUCUUUUCAGUAAUAUUUGUGUUCCUGAUCCUUAUCCUCUCAAGGAAAACACCAAUUGACUUCAAUCAGUGCAGUAGAAUCCCUGCUAAAUUAGCCCAGAAUAAGGAGUAUGGAUUAAACAGGAGGAGGAGAGGCAGGAGUGAAGUAGCCCAUAAAGCUGGAUGCGUAGAAAGGACACCAAACAGUCUGUGAAUAAAUCUCUCAUUUAAAUACAGUGGCACCUUGUUGCUUUACUUGGAAGCAAGAGUAAAAAGGGGGUAU